UAGGGAAUCUUCGGCAAUGGGGGGAACCCUGACGGAGCAACGCCGCGUGAGUGAAGAAGGAUUUCGGUUCGUAAAACUCUGUUGUUAGAGAAGAACAGCGCAUAGAGUAACUGUUAUGCGUGUGACGGUAUCUAACCAGAAAGCCACGGCUAACUACGUGCCAGCAGCCGCGGUAAUACGUAGGUGGCAAGCGUUGUCCGGAUUUAUUGGGCGUAAAGCGAGCGCAGGCGGUCAAUUAAGUCUGAUGUGAAAGCCCCCGGCUCAACCGGGGAGGGUCAUUGGAAACUGGUUGACUUGAGUGCAGAAGAGGAGAGUGGAAUUCCAUGUGUAGCGGUGAAAUGCGUAGAUAUAUGGAGGAACACCAGUGGCGAAGGCGACUCUCUGGUCUGUAACUGACGCUGAGGCUCGAAAGCGUGGGUAGCAAACAGG
RNAcentral lists this ribosomal RNA (429 nucleotides) under Bacteroidota bacterium. RNAcentral describes it as "Bacteroidetes bacterium partial 16S ribosomal RNA". It matches the Rfam family "Bacterial small subunit ribosomal RNA", at positions 355 to 776 of the family's 1533-position model. The record is from RNAcentral. Lineage: Bacteria; Pseudomonadati; Bacteroidota.